UGAGGUAGGUUUUUCUAUAGUACCUGUCAUUUUCCUGAUUUGUUUGCAGAGUUUGAGGAUGAACACAGCUGCCUUCUUGGGGAUGUAAAUGGAUAAUCACUUCUUUAGAUUUUUCAUCUCUAUUAUUGCUAAUUGAUAGAGGAAAAAUAUUGGAAAAUAUCUUAAUUAUAUAAGUUUCAGUUUUGAAAGAAAUUAGUAGCUUUCCUUUUGAAAUUUAGGGCAUAAUUUGCCUCA
Non-coding RNA from Ceratotherium simum simum (southern white rhinoceros), 234 nucleotides. The record is from RefSeq and is a predicted model, not a curated record. Lineage: Eukaryota; Metazoa; Chordata; Mammalia; Perissodactyla; Rhinocerotidae.